GUCCCCAUCGUCUAGCCGGCCUAGGACCCAGCCCUUUCAAGGCUGUAACAGGGGUUCGAAUCCCCUUGGGGACG
This 74-nucleotide transfer RNA is filed under the name Inmirania thermothiophila. It matches the Rfam family "tRNA". From Rfam's summary of the family: Transfer RNA (tRNA) molecules are approximately 80 nucleotides in length. Their secondary structure includes four short double-helical elements and three loops (D, anti-codon, and T loops). Lineage: Bacteria; Pseudomonadati; Pseudomonadota; Gammaproteobacteria; Chromatiales; Ectothiorhodospiraceae. The record is from Rfam by way of RNAcentral.